This is a non-coding RNA of Pelobates cultripes (western spadefoot toad), 1226 nucleotides long. The record is from the annotation of a GenBank genome assembly. Lineage: Eukaryota; Metazoa; Chordata; Amphibia; Anura; Pelobatidae.
CUUUUUAAUGUUUCAGUAUGUGGCUCAUCGUUUUCAAACAUAUAUUGUGAUUUAUAGAACUGACAUCAGAACUGCUUUCUUAAAAAAUAAUGUCUGGACAGGGCAUUGAAAUGUAUCUAUCCCACGUCGGUUCUCUCUGCAUUCAUUCUGCAUGUCAGAUAUAAUCUGUAUGAAAUAUCAGAAGACACCGUAGGCACUAUUUUGUGGUUGGCAUUUCUCGACAAAAGGCCACGAUUCUGCCAACGCGUUUUGUCAAUCCCACCGCCUUCACUAGUGAUGUUGGUGUGAAAUACCUCAAUUUGGGCAUUGCACAAGUAGUUCUAUGGAUGGGCCUGUGGGAUCUUUUACAUGCAAGAGAGGAUGACUGGACUUUCUGAUGACUGGACUUUCGUCAGACGAGGAUUCUGGGAGAUGUAGAUGGAUCCCACAAGAAAGAUGCAGGUGCGUGUGAGGGGAAGCUUCAGGUACAGUAUAUCUCCUAUUCACCAAACACUAAACAAACCAUGCAAAGAUCUAAAAGUGACAGAGCCACUCUAAAGGGAAACUUGGAUAAAAAUUGAACUCCUGAUAUCUUGUAGCAAGGCUCAAAUUCUACUAGCCAUUGGCAAGUGAAAACUCCAAUCUGGCAAGUGGAAAUCCAGCCCUGGUAGUGUGUCAUGGAUCCUCCAGGCUUGUAAAAAGGACUGGUUUGGAGUGUAGUGAGGAGUGUGUAAAGGUGUGCUAGGUGUAGCUUGGUGCUAUAGUGUGUGUGCAUGUAUAGGGUUGUAGAGAUUGUGUGUGUGUGUGUUGGCAUUAGCUGUCAUGUGCGUGUGUUGUGUGUGUCUAUGUAUUGAAGUUGCAUUGUGUGUGUGUGUAUCUAAGAGAUAUAGUUUGUGUAACUAUAUCUCCUAGAUCCACAACUAGCGGCUGCUUUGUGUAUUGGGUUUGUGUUGUGUGUGUGUAUAUGGAUUGUAGUGUUUGUGUAUAAGCUGUAUAAUGUGUGUAAAGGGGUGGUAUAAUGUAUGUAUAGGGGGUGUACUGAGUGGGGAUGUGCUGCGCUAUGUGUGGGGGAAUGUACUGUGUGUGGUAGGGUGUACUGUUUGGGUGUGUGUGUGUGGUGUGCACUGUGUGUGUGUGGUGUACUCUGCAUGUGUAUGGGGUUGAGUUAAGGGUCCAGUAAGGGCUUUUUUCCUCAACGCACCCCUGCAGGACUCAAGCCCUGUAUAUAUAUAUAUAUGAAACCAAGG